RNAcentral lists this ribosomal RNA (512 nucleotides) under uncultured bacterium. RNAcentral's name for it is "partial 16S ribosomal RNA". It matches the Rfam family "Bacterial small subunit ribosomal RNA", at positions 355 to 882 of the family's 1533-position model. The record is from RNAcentral.
UGGGGAAUAUUGCACAAUGGGCGAAAGCCUGAUGCAGCAACGCCGCGUGAGUGAUGAAGGCCUUCGGGUUGUAAAGCUCUGUCUUUUGGGACGAUAAUGACGGUACCAAAGGAGGAAGCCACGGCUAACUACGUGCCAGCAGCCGCGGUAAUACGUAGGUGGCAAGCGUUGUCCGGAUUUACUGGGCGUAAAGGAUGCGUAGGCGGAUUUUUAAGUGAGAUGUGAAAACCCUAAGCUUAACUUGGGGGACUGCAUUUCAUACUGGAAAUCUAGAGUGCGGGAGAGGAGAAUGGAAUUCCUAGUGUAGCGGUGAAAUGCGUAGAGAUUAGGAAGAACACCAGUGGCGAAGGCGAUUCUCUGGACCGUAACUGACGCUGAGGCAUGAAAGCGUGGGUAGCAAACAGGAUUAGAUACCCUGGUAGUCCACGCCGUAAACGAUGAGUACUAGGUGUAGGAGGUAUCGACCCCUUCUGUGCCGCAGUUAACACAAUAAGUACUCCGCCUGGGAAGUA